UCUAUGCAGACGGCUGCUUCACGAACGCCCAAGGGAUACGCACAGCAUGGAACACAAUAACACGUGCGCUUGUCAGAUCGAAAACGACAGAAGGGAAGGACCAAGGGAAGUACCAGGAGCUUAGCAAUUAUAUCUUAACUGAGGCGCUUAAUUGUUCUGAUAAAAAUAAUUUUGGCCUUUCUCGUAGUUUUAAACAAAGCACAAUACCGUCAGACGACACGAAGAGCCUGCAAGUAGAAGCAUGAAGCCCAACACGACCGCGGAACUCCUUAGGGAUUUUAAGAUGGACAAAAUUAAGAAUGCUAAUGUUAUUCUUGAACUUAUGAAGAGACUUGAGCUGUGUGAGAGAAACUAUGCAGAAAUAAUCUGCAGACAUGAAUGGUAAUAUCACAAAGAAAGGGAAAAGAUUGCAGAAGGUGCUGCUAACAGCCCAAGUCCACUUGGUGCUCUUGUACAUACUGAGGUAAAGGUGUAAAGGUGGAUGGGUGUUGGGGGUCAGAGCCCGGCAACUUGUCACAACAAAGUAAACAGUACAAUGGAUGAAACAGUUGAUAAAUGGUAUCAUUUCUCAGGUUGUUAAUUUAGGAGUUACUGGUAUAGUUUAUUUCACACAGCCUUGUGGUACAGUCACCAACUUAAAUGCUGCUGGCCAUGUGGUGAUGUAGGAUGGCCAGUAGCACAUGAUAAAGUCACUUGAUUUAUAGCAAUUCAAGUCUUAAAUCACAUUAAGUUGACAGCAAAUGUAAAAUUAUGGAGUUGCAACUCAUAGUUUUGUUAGUUUCUGUGCAGUGUUUAAAGUGCACAGAAACUAACAAAACUAUGAUAAUAAAUAAAUCAUGUGAUAAUAAAUCAUGUGAUUAUUUUACAGCCAAUAACUAACUUUGAUUGAUAUGAUGUGAAUCUGCUGUCAUGUAAAAUUUUACCCGAAUGCUAGAGUGGUUUUAAUGCUGAAAGUUCGUGGAGGAAAUUUAGACUCAUUGGGUAUUCAGAAAAGAUCUUUUCCAUUAUUUUCACCAUUAAUGAGGGUGAAAUUUGCCAUCUCUGAGCUAUGGCUGGAAGAGAGCUGUGUCUAGGAGGAUACUGUUUCCAUGCUCAGGGUCCUAUUUCUGCCUAUUGUGACCACCAGAUUUACAACUGGCAUGAAACAAUUAUUGUUAUCAUUAUUAUUAUUAUUACUAAUUGUUAUUGUUAUUACACAAAGUUGCUGUCAACUGAGAUUGAUUGAUUAUUUAAAAUUAUAUGCAGCAUCAGUAGCUUUAGUCAUCAACAGCAUAGAGUCUAGAGUACAGACCAUUACCAACUUGAUACAGCAUAUCAGAUGACGAAUGUAGACUUAGAAGAUGGCAAAAAGUAAAGAAAAUGCUUAUGAAGAAAAAGAAAUAUGAGACCAAAGGCUCUGAGAAAAUGUUGCAGAUACAAACAAUCUUAGAUUUCUUUAAUACUACAUGCAGUUAUUGAAUAUUGAAGUAUUUUUCAUUAGUAAAACUAAGACAGCUGA
This is a long non-coding RNA of Penaeus monodon (black tiger shrimp), 1498 nucleotides long. RefSeq lists it as uncharacterized. The transcript is spliced from 2 exons. The record is from RefSeq and is a predicted model, not a curated record. Lineage: Eukaryota; Metazoa; Arthropoda; Malacostraca; Decapoda; Penaeidae.